AGCACCUCUCCCAGCCAGGGGCAGCGCCGCUGGGCAGGGCAGUGCCGCUGGGCAGGGUAGGUGGGAGAGCUUUGUCCUCCCGCAGACGUCCCUGCUGGGAAUGUGGGUCCCAGCACCGUCUGCAGCAGCUCCAGAGCCUUCUUUCCUGAGGGUCUUCAGUUGCGCUGUCCUGGCUGCCUUGACGUCCUGCAUUGAUUCAAAACGUUUCCCUCUCACGGUCAUUUUGAUACUGAGGAAGAGCCAGUUCCAGACCCCGUGAGUAAGGAAGCCCUGGUGUUUGCGUCGGCAGGCACAGUGUGCCCCCAGCCCAGGACUUUCUGCAGCGUUUCACGACGUGUGCUGCUGAACACUUGUGAGUCUUUGCAAAAUUAUAAUGAGUGGGGACAGUUUCCAAUUGAAAUCUUGGAGAAUAAAGCUGGCAAAAUGUUGCCUUGAUUUUCAAAAAAGGGAAGUAUAUAGAAUGGCAAACUUAAUUGUUAAUGGCUUCCAAGCUUCAAGAAUGGAUUAUCAAAGAGACAUACUUAGAACAGAGUAUGAUGAUCACUAGGUGCUCACAUAGAGUCAUGAAAGCUUUUCGUUUUUUGGAGACAGCGUUUGCCAUGCAGUUCAGUCUGGUCUUGAACUUGCAGCAAUCCCGCUGCCUCAGCCUCCCAACUGGUAGGAUUAUAGGUGCGCACCACCACGCCCGGCCAAGCUUUGCAUUUUUGAGUGAGAUCUGGGAGGGAAUGUUCUUGCUCCAAUUGGUGUUUCAGUUAGGUGCUGGAUAAAGGUUCACAAAGUCACCCUGAGGACAAGACAAGGAAACGUCCCCUGGGUGAUUGUGAAGUGUGAUCACAGUGCUACCAUCCACAAGGUGAGGUCAAUGCAAAACCGCAGAAUUUGAAAUGUGCUGCUGAGAACGCAAUGACACACAACCCGGACAGCAUCCUGCGCUCCGGGUUCC
This is a long non-coding RNA of Chinchilla lanigera (long-tailed chinchilla), 943 nucleotides long. RefSeq lists it as uncharacterized. The record is from RefSeq and is a predicted model, not a curated record. The transcript is spliced from 3 exons. Lineage: Eukaryota; Metazoa; Chordata; Mammalia; Rodentia; Chinchillidae.